RNAcentral lists this transfer RNA (71 nucleotides) under Patescibacteria group bacterium. RNAcentral's name for it is "tRNA-Trp". It matches the Rfam family "tRNA". From Rfam's summary of the family: Transfer RNA (tRNA) molecules are approximately 80 nucleotides in length. Their secondary structure includes four short double-helical elements and three loops (D, anti-codon, and T loops). Further hydrogen bonds mediate the characteristic L-shaped molecular structure. tRNAs have two regions of fundamental functional importance: the anti-codon, which is responsible for specific mRNA codon recognition, and the 3' end, to which the tRNAs corresponding amino acid is attached (by aminoacyl-tRNA synthetases). tRNAs cope with the degeneracy of the genetic code in two manners: having more than one tRNA (with a specific anti-codon) for a particular amino acid; and 'wobble' base-pairing, i.e. permitting non-standard base-pairing at the 3rd anti-codon position. The record is from RNAcentral.
AGGGGCGUAGUUAAGUGGUAUAACUGCUCUCUCCAAAAGAGCUGUCGGGGGUCCGAUUCCCUCCGCCCCUG